Non-coding RNA from Xylaria castorea, 89 nucleotides. The record is from the annotation of a GenBank genome assembly. Lineage: Eukaryota; Fungi; Ascomycota; Sordariomycetes; Xylariales; Xylariaceae.
GCUGUAGUGGUGUAAGGGUAACAUCUAAGCUUCCCAUGUCAUUAAUAAUGAGCCUGCUUAGGCACCGAGUUCGAGUCUCGGCUACAGCA